UAGGGAAUCUUCGGCAAUGGGGGGAACCCUGACCGAGCAACGCCGCGUGAGUGAAGAAGGUUUUCGGAUCGUAAAGCUCUGUUGUUAAGGAAGAACGAGUGUGAGAAUGGAAAGUUCAUACUGUGACGGUACUUAACCAGAAAGGGACGGCUAACUACGUGCCAGCAGCCGCGGUAAUACGUAGGUCCCGAGCGUUGUCCGGAUUUAUUGGGCGUAAAGCGAGCGCAGGCGGUUAGAUAAGUCUGAAGUUAAAGGCAGUGGCUCAACCAUUGUAGGCUUUGGAAACUGUUUAACUUGAGUGCAGAAGGGGAGAGUGGAAUUCCAUGUGUAGCGGUGAAAUGCGUAGAUAUAUGGAGGAACACCGGUGGCGAAAGCGGCUCUCUGGUCUGUAACUGACGCUGAGGCUCGAAAGCGUGGGGAGCGAACAGGAUUAGAUACCCUGGUAGUCCACGCCGUAACGAUGAGUGCUAGGUGUUAGGUCCUUUCCGGGACUUAGUGCCGCAGCUAACGCAUUAAGCACUCCGCCUGGGGAGUACGACCGCAAGGUU
This 548-nucleotide ribosomal RNA is filed under the name uncultured bacterium. Its description in RNAcentral is "bacterial SSU rRNA". It matches the Rfam family "Bacterial small subunit ribosomal RNA", at positions 355 to 895 of the family's 1533-position model. The record is from RNAcentral.